Molecule: ribosomal RNA, 380 nt
Filed under: uncultured eukaryote
Lineage: Eukaryota
Description: partial 18S ribosomal RNA
Rfam family: Eukaryotic small subunit ribosomal RNA
Source: RNAcentral
CAAUAGCGUAUAUUAAAGUUGUUGCGGUUAAAAAGCUCGUAGUUGGAGUUCUGCCAGGUGCCGCCUGUCCGCCCCAGUGGUGAGUACGUGGCGCGCAUUUGGCCCUUUCAAGGGGAGCGUAUCUGCACUUUAUUGUGUGGUGCGGGAUCCUUGACUUUUACUUUGAGGAAAUAGGAGUGUUCCAAGCAGGCUCUCGUCGUGCACAGCUCAGCAUGGAAUAAUAGCAUUGGACCUCGAUUCUAAGCUGUUGGUUGCCAGAAGCGAGGUAAUGAUGAAGAGGGAUAGUUGGGGGCAUUCGUAGUUAACUGUCAGAGGUGAAAUUCUUGGAUUUGUUAAGGACGGACUACUGCGAAAGCAUCUGCCAUGGAUGUUUUCAUUGA